RNAcentral lists this ribosomal RNA (111 nucleotides) under Amphilophus citrinellus (Midas cichlid). Lineage: Eukaryota; Metazoa; Chordata; Actinopteri; Cichliformes; Cichlidae. The record is from RNAcentral.
GAUUACAGCCGUACCACCCAGAACACGCCAGAUCUUAUCUGAUGUCAGAAGCAGAGUUGGGUUUGGUUAGUACUUGGAUGGGAGACUACCUGGGAAUACCAGGUGUGUACA